GGUAGCUAAAUGCGGAAGAGAUAAGUGCUGAAAGCAUCUAAGCACGAAACUUGCCCCGAGAUGAGUUCUCCCUGACCCUUUAAGGGUCCUGAAGGAACGUUGAAGACGACGACGUUGAUAGGCCGGGUGUGUAAGCGCAGCGAUGCGUUGAGCUAACCGGUACUAAUGAACCGUGAGGCUUAACCUU
This 187-nucleotide ribosomal RNA is filed under the name Escherichia coli. RNAcentral describes it as "partial 23S ribosomal RNA". It matches the Rfam family "Bacterial large subunit ribosomal RNA", at positions 2744 to 2925 of the family's 2925-position model. RNAcentral also lists the same sequence under 1 other name. Lineage: Bacteria; Pseudomonadati; Pseudomonadota; Gammaproteobacteria; Enterobacterales; Enterobacteriaceae. The record is from RNAcentral.